AUCUAAUAUUAUGGUUGUUACGAAAAUAAACAACCAACAAUAACAAUAGAACGACUUGUUUUCCUUUUCUCUCUCGACGAGUCGCCCUAGCCGCCACAGACCAAACUUUCAGAUCUAAGUUUGCCCUCUCCGGUGAGCGGCGCUCUUCACCGGAGCCGUGAGAGGACCAUUUUGCUGCGGUUCUCGACGGUUCUUCAUGUCAAGGGUUAAUAGUCCCGCUUUCUUCUCAGAGAGUGUGGAUCUCCCUUUCCCAGCGGUGGCAGAGGAUGGAAGAUUUGUUUUCGUCAGAUCCAGCAUGAGCUAGGAUCUCAUUGUUUGACCUUCUCCAACUUGUUGCUUGGUUUUUGUCCUCAGUCUGGUAAGCUUUUGUUCUGAUCGAUUUUCUUCUCCGAGUUGCUAGAGAUAUAGUAGUUUAGUAUGGUGUGCAGAGUUUUCUGACCUUCGAUUGGGGAAUCUGUCCCUUGCUAAGCAGAGGUUUCGUUUUGUUUGAUUAUGAUGGUAGUCUCCAAAGUUUGUCGAGUUAUCUCCUUCUUGCUGUUGUUCGGUGUUGUGAUAGCUAUCUUGAGUAUUGCGUCGUUCUCGUUGAGAUUGGUGUUGUUUGAGAAGUUAGGCCUCACUCCUUGUACUUGCUUUCGAGAUCUGUUGAGAUCUGUUUGCGUUUGAAAGGCUUUAGUUUGACGUUCAUUGGCGUACCAACGUCGUCAUCACGUCCGGAAGUGAGUUGCUUGCCGAUUAUGAAGUCUUGAGAGAUUGGCUCUCACCAUGAUAGGAGGUGGUAGAUGUUACUUCUGUUUGGCCAUGGGCAUCCUUGGUAAAUCUCUUUCGCUGGUUCUUCAGAAGAAGGGUGCUUUGUUUUCUUUGUUCUCUUGUCUCUCUUUAGGUUUUAUUGCCGGUUACCUCUGUUUUUAGUUUAAGGUAUCGUUUCCUUUUGUUUUUGGUUGUAAAAUUUUUGUUUCGUAGUUCUAUCUUUAGACUCUGGGGACAUAUAUGUUGUCCGCCGGCUUACUGACUCUGGGGACAUCGAUGUCGUCCGCCGGCUUUAGCUUUGUAUUUCA
Non-coding RNA from Camelina sativa (false flax), 1055 nucleotides. The record is from RefSeq and is a predicted model, not a curated record. NCBI's taxonomy places the organism in Eukaryota, Viridiplantae, Streptophyta, Magnoliopsida, Brassicales, Brassicaceae.